GAUGAACGCUGGCGGCGUGCCUAAUACAUGCAAGUCGAGCGAACAGACGAGGAGCUUGCUCCUCUGACGUUAGCGGCGGACGGGUGAGUAACACGUGGAUAACCUACCUAUAAGACUGGGAUAACUUCGGGAAACCGGAGCUAAUACCGGAUAAUAUAUUUAACCGCAUGGUUCAAUAGUGAAAGACGGGUUUGCUGUCACUUAUAGAUGGAUCCGCGCCGCAUUAGCUAGUUGGUAAGGUAACGGCUUACCAAGGCAACGAUGCGUAGCCGACCUGAGAGGGUAGUCGGCCACACAGGGUCGGCGACCAGGUCGGGACUCAGAGGGGGGGCAGGAGUGGAGAAUUUUCAGCAAUGGGGAAUAGCGCACAGGGGGAACGCGCCGGAGGGAGUGAAGGCCUUGGGAUGAUAAAGCCCUGUUAUUAGGAAACAACAAGUGGUAAAGAAAAAGUGCCCUUUUUGAGGGACCUAAAUAAGAAGGCCCGGGUAAAUACGGG
Molecule: ribosomal RNA, 496 nt
Filed under: uncultured bacterium
Lineage: Bacteria
Description: partial 16S ribosomal RNA
Rfam family: Bacterial small subunit ribosomal RNA
Source: RNAcentral